Non-coding RNA from Solanum lycopersicum (tomato), 1435 nucleotides. The record is from RefSeq and is a predicted model, not a curated record. Lineage: Eukaryota; Viridiplantae; Streptophyta; Magnoliopsida; Solanales; Solanaceae.
CCAUACUUUUCGAAAUUGCUAGAUGCAUAUGUGACAGUUGAUAGCGACAAAUGUAAAAGUUGGCGGCCACAGUUGUGGAAGUUUGUAGAGUUCUUGUAGAGUUUGGGAGUCAAACUUUGUGGAAAUUGGCUGCCACAUUUAUGUCACUAAUGACGUAAUCAAGAGGCUCAAAACUCUAUAAAUAUAGUAGUAAUUUAACACUUGAAGAUACACAAAAAAUAUAGAGCACAGAGGAUAAUCCACAAGCUAUUUUUUAGUUUGUGAGAAAAAAGUGAGGAAGUAAUAUUAUUGUGAGUUGUAGAAAUAACAGAGUGUUGUUUCUUAUAAAAGAGUAGACGAAUUUUAAUACUAGCAUGUUUUUAUCAAUUUUAUUGUAUUACUUAUUCGGUGCCUUAUUUGAAACACGUCCGUGACAAAAAGUCAAUUCAUCACAAUGCAGUUAAGUAUGCAACAUGCUUAUGCGAGAAACUAGAAAAUCUGAAUUACGAAGAAGUUGACUCUAUUGUUGCCAAUUCUCUGCUUGAUGCAGCGUGUUAUGACAACUAUGAGCUUGUUGAACGUAUACUCAAAAAAUUCCCUCAUUUAACUUUUUAUGAGGAUCAUAAUGGGAAGAAUAUCUUACACAUUGCAAUAAAGAAUCGCUGCAAAAAUGUGUUUAAGUUGGUCUGUCAGAUGAGCCAGAUUCUAAACCAUUUGGUGAUUUAUUUUGACUCCUCGGGCAAUACAAUCUUGGAUUUGGCUGGAAAGUUGGCACCACAAAAUAAGCUAAACCUUGUCUCUGGACCAGCUUUUCAGAUGCAACUAGAACUACAGUGGUUUAAGGAAGUAAAGAAGAUAGUCCCGUCUUCGUUCUGGAGACGCUUAAAUCUUGAGAAGAAAGCUCCAUAUGUGGUUUUUACUGAGGAACAUGAAAAGUUGAAAGUAGAUGGAGAGAAAUGGAUGAAAGACACAUCAAGCUCAUGCACAAUUGCAGCAUCACUGAUUGCUACCAUCGUUAUGCACCUCUCUACUAGUGUUCUUGUCAGUUUUGACAUCUCGUUAUGCAGAAGAAGAUUUCCUUCAUACUUUGCCAAGGAGUCUUAUCAUGGGAUUGCUAACUCUGUUUCUUUCUAUAACAUCAACGAUUAUUAGCUUCAGUGCAACGGGGUAUCUCAUGUUUGGGCAGAAGAAGGCAUGGGUUCUUAUACCAGUUGCGACAAUGGCUUGCCUACCGAUUACUUCGUUUGUGCUUCUGCAAUUUCCCCUCCUUGUUGCUCUCAUUUCCUCUACAUACGGGGCUGGAACUUUUAGAAAUUAAACAAGAGUAACUUCUUGUUUUAGCGACUAUUAAAGUAUUAUUUUUGACUGGUUGUUUUAAUAUUUGGUGUGUUGUUCGAACAUGUUAAGUCAUGUUAUCUUUAACCAUUCAUAACUAUUAUAUUGUUUCUUAAUGAAA